This is a non-coding RNA of Picea glauca (white spruce), 73 nucleotides long. The record is from Rfam. Lineage: Eukaryota; Viridiplantae; Streptophyta; Pinopsida; Pinales; Pinaceae.
AGGGAUGUAGCUCACAUGGUAGAGUGCUCGCUUUGCAUGCGAGAGGUACGGGGUUCUAUACCCCGCAUCUCCA